RNAcentral lists this long non-coding RNA (4004 nucleotides) under Sus scrofa (pig). RNAcentral describes it as "lncRNA (ENSSSCG00000060632.1)". Lineage: Eukaryota; Metazoa; Chordata; Mammalia; Artiodactyla; Suidae. The record is from RNAcentral.
CAACAGCAAUGCUGGAUCUUUAACCCACUUAGCAAGGCCAGGGAUGAAACCUGUGUCCUUAUGUAUACUAGUUGGGUUCAUUACUGUAAGGUGAGUGUGGAGAAAAAGAGAAUGACUCUAGUGGUCAGGCGAAAAAACAAAAUUUAUUAAAGGGAAAUGAGAGGGUGAUUGACCCUUGAGAAGAGCCAGCCCCCUGCCCUUCUGGCAGGUCCUUUUUAUACCCCUUGGAUGGAAAAUUGGAUCCCCUGAAGGGGAGGUUAUCUUUUUUUUUUUUUUGCUUUUUUAGGGCCACACUGGUGGCAUAUGGAGGUUCCCAGGCUAGGGGUGUAAUUGGAGCUGUAGCUGCCAGCCACAGCCAUAGAAACGCGAGAUACGAGCUUCGUCUAUGACCUACACCACAGCUCACAGCAACACUGGAUCUUUAAUCCACUGAGCGAGGCCAGGGAUCCAACCUGCAACCUCAUGGUUCCUAGUCGGAUUCAUUUCCUCUGAACCACAAUGGGAACUCCUGGUUAGUUUAUCUUUAGCCUGUGGCUGGACUCUGGUGGUUGUAGUCUUAAGAAAGCUGGAGAUAUGUGGUGUCCCAUGGUAGGGUGGUCACAUAGUCUUGGGAAAGUAGGCACAAGUGGUGAAAAAAGGAUGUUGCUUGAGCAAGGUGGUCAGUCUUGUGGGUCACUGUGACCUCAUAUUUUGAUUGCAAGGUCAGCACAAUGAGCCAUUUUAACAAUGAGCCCCAAUGUAGCCCCUAAUAGCUACAAUGGGAACUCCCAACUUGAGAGUUUUGGCCUUCAGUUUUAUUCUCGGCCUAUAGCAUUUUAUUGAGGUCUAGAGCUCAGGAGACAGCCACUCAGCAGCUCCAAGGAGCUGCCAGAAAGGUAGGGGAGGAGCUGGGGUAUAUAUGAACUUUUUGGCCAGGGAAUAUGUGCAGUCAAGCAUUCAUCCUGGUAAAAUAUUAGUUAUGUGAAACACCUCUUGGUGGAUGUUGAGCCAAAAGAUACUACCAAGUCAAAGAUAUGGAGAAGGCAGGAUUUACUACUUGAAACAGGUAAUGUUGCUGAAACUCAGUUUCUGUCCUCCUGUGUCGAAUAGACAAGAGUUUUGGGCAAAGAAGCUCACAGCAGGCUAAUGAUUUAGAGGUUUCCACCCACCCCCCUUUGGGAGAGAUUAGGAGAUGAUUUUAUAGUUUGGGGAGUGGAAAAUAGGGCAAGGAUCGAUAUAGAUGCAAGUUUUCAUUCUUCUUCAAGGUUGAUAUUUAGAGGCUCUGGGAUUUGUUCUGGUUGUCCUGAAAUGAAGAAGACUUCAUCAAGGAAUUAGCAUCUUCUAUGUCUUGGUAGUUUUAGGUCUGCAGAAGUGCUCAAAGAUAUUGUUUGGUGUAUCCCUUGAGGAGGAACCAGGACCCUGCUCCCAGGCUGCACUACUGUGUCUGGACUGCUCCUCCCUGGUCUCUUCAUCCCCUCCCUUCUCGGAUCAGCAACUGCCCUUUGGAACUCAGGGAAAGUCAUGGAUGCUGAAGGAGGCCUAUUUCCUACAAACAAGUAAUGGGAGACACAGAAAAGCUUCCAUGCCCAGGAUACCCAUAGAGUCCUUCUUGGUUUCCUUAAGGAGACAAGUGGCAAUCCUUCCUAAAGUAGUGCCCCCCCCCAACAGCAAAAUUGGGGAUGUUUUAGGCUAAGGACCCAUUCAUAUUUAUGAAGGGGCUUGAGGGGAGAGAAUUCAGCUUAGAAUUGAGGCCAAGGUCAACAGAGUCCAAGCUUUAGUUGAUGGAAGUCAAGAGAGUCAACAGCCUGUCUCUGGAAUAUCAGUUAUUUUAAGCUGGUUAUUUUCUAAGCAAAUGCAGACAAGUCGAAAAACUCUGAACACUGUUGCAUGGAAGAGAGAAGAAAAGCCAGUCAGCUGGGAAGAGUGAGGUCCCAAGUAGGUUUUACUGACCAGAGAGAUAGCCGGGAGCACUGAGAAAGGAAAACUCAGGGCCCCCGCCCUUUAGGGAUAGUUAAGUUUUAUAGGGCAGGGGUCGUGUGUUGAGUCACGUAGUCAUGGGAUGGUGGUUGGUGUCUGGUCCAGGUGAGACUUUUAAUCUUUAGUUGGCCAAAUUUAAACAGACACAGAAAUGUCUGACAAUGUUCUGAGGUGGUGACUGGUCUGGGCUGGAGCUGAUCUAUAGCUUGUGGUGACACUUUUAUGGCUGCUUUGCUGUAAACUUUCCACCUAUGCUUCAGACCUAUAUCUCACGAUGAUACUUUUAUGGCUGCUUUUUUGUUGAAUAUUUCCACCUAAGAAACACCAAAGAGGAGUUCCCCUUUUAUAGGAAGCAGUCAUAUUUAUAAGCAAAAAUCUCCAUCUGUGAGGGUGUUUCCCUUGCUGGGCCAGAAGCAGGAGGGUCCUGCUCUAGAAACUCUCAUCAGUGAAAGAGACAAGAACUUAAAUCUGCUUAAAUAACCUUGUUCACUGUGCUUUUCCUGCUCACCCUUCCAUACCUGACCUUUCACCCUCAGCCUCCUCUUUUGUCUUCAGCUGAAGAUGUAUUUGAGGUGAGCUGUGGGCAUUUUGGUGGGUUAUUCAGUUUUCCUGGGUCUCUCCCCCAUAUGCAUGCUAUGAGACUUUGAUUUUCUUCUGUUAAUCUGUCUCAAGUCAAUUUAAUUGUUUGACCAGCUGGAAGAGCCUAGAAGGGUAGAGGAAAACUUCUUUUUCCCCAACACUAAGAACGUUGUUUUGUGUUCAUAUGAAUUCAGUAUAAUGCAUAAAGGAAUCCUGUAGGAAAUCAUACCAGAGAUGUGUGGUAUUCUUCAGCUAGCUGGCUAAAAUAUAAAUCAUUAAAAGGAAAUAUAUUAUUAUUGGUGAGGAGUUCUCUCAUAGCACAGCAGGUUAAGGAUCUGGCAUUGUUACUGCAGUGGUUUGGGUUCCUGAUGUGGCAUGGCUUUGAUCCCUGGCCCGGGAAUUUCCACAUGCCAAGGGCUUAGAAAAAAAAAAUCAUAAUUUUUUUCUUUUUUUAAAUUACUCGUGGGAUUUAUUACAUUUAUAGUUGUAAAAUAAUCAUCACAAUCCAAUUUUAUAGGAUUUCCAUCCUACAACUCUGGCACAUCCCUCUACCCCCCAAACUGUCUCCUUUGGAAACUGUAAGUUUUUCAGUCUGUGAGUCAGUAUCUGUUCUGCGAAGAAGUUCAUUGUGUCCUUUUUUUCAGACUGCACAUGUCAGUGAAAGCAUUUGAUGUUGGUGUCUCAUUGUCUGACUGACUUCACUUAGCAUGAUAGUUUCUGGGUCCAUCCAUGUUGCUAAAAAUGCCAGUAUUUUGUUCCUUUUAAUGGCUGAGUAAUAUUCCAUUGUCUAUGUGUACCACAUCUUUUUGAUCCCCUCCUCUAUUGAUGGACAUUUAGGUUGUUUCCAUGUCUUGGCUAUUGGAAAUAGUGCUGCAAUGAACAUUGGAGUACACGUGUCUUUGCGAGUCAAGGUUUUCUCUGGAUAGAUGCCUGAUGUCAUGAGACCUGUUUCUACAACAUUUUCUUAGCCUCUUUGCUUCUAUUUUCUGUGCUGAAAACUCCAUCUUAUCCUGCUUUACUUUACCCCAUCUUCCUGCUUGGAAAACAGUCUCAGUGCUGGUAAAUGCCUUAAGUUUAAGAAUAAAGACCUAAAGGCAUAAGUUAUUCAUGUGGUCAGAUGAAUGAGAACAUAAUGCAUUGGUCUAGGCACGCUGGACCUGUGCAGAUAGACACGCUGUCACAGAAGCACAAUGGUGAUUCUCUAGAAUGCUAUGCAUAAAUAACUGACUUUGCCAAGCUUUCUUAAUGCUAAUGAUCGUUAAAUGCCUAAAGAUCAAAAUAAAAGCUUAAUCAGCAACUGGCUAUGUGACUUUUAAAAUAAUUAAAAAAAAAAAGCAACCCUAUAUCCUGCACCUACAACCCCCUCCUCACUUGAUGUAAUCCUAGAGAGCACAAUAAAAGCAGUGUGGUUUCUUGAGGUGGUGCUCUUGGUCCCUGAGACCUUAAGUCCCCCGAUUCCCACCUUUAAU